GCCUGGGUGGCUUAGUUGGUUAAGCGUCCGACUUCAGCUCAGGUCAUGAUCUCACAGUUCGUGGGUUCAAGCCCCGCAUCAGGCC
RNAcentral lists this transfer RNA (85 nucleotides) under Felis catus (domestic cat). It matches the Rfam family "tRNA". Rfam says of the family: Transfer RNA (tRNA) molecules are approximately 80 nucleotides in length. The record is from Rfam by way of RNAcentral. Lineage: Eukaryota; Metazoa; Chordata; Mammalia; Carnivora; Felidae.